AAGCGGCAAAUACGAGAUUAGAUGCAGAGGAGUUUCUAGGGUUAUGUCGAAUCAACCGCCGUUUCAUACGAGAUCGACAAAGAAUCGAUCUAAGGUGUCACCGAGCAAUCGUAUUGGCUGAUCAUUUUUCCUCCCUCGACAAGCAAGAACACAAGGGAUCUACAGCAUACGCGUCCUGAGGAAAACUAAACGAUAGAUGGAGAAACUGUUUACGAGGUUUUGCUCGUUUUCUGGGUCGAAUCAGCGUGUUGAUUGGAGGAAGGAAUUGAUAUGUCAAAACGUCACCACGUGAAGACAACCAAUCGCGAGAAGAUUAGAUAAAUCACUGCACCAAGGGCAAUCUGCUACAUAAUUAAAGCCUGGUAUUGAUAUUCUGCAGCAAACACGGAUGUGAAGGUGACCCCGACUCGGCCUCUACGGGUGCGGUCUCGCGUUAAACCAGCCCAUCGUGGCUCGCGUCGUCGUCGUGGUCGUGCCCUGAGCCGGUUCGCCUAAGUCCGCCGUCGCUUCAACCCGCCGCUGAGCCAGCUGCACCUCUACUGUGCUUCCCGUCCGAGCCGCCAUGAGCCGCCACCGCGCCUCCUUGUUGCUUCGGUCAUGAGUCGCUGCCGCCACUAACCGCCAUCGCUUCGCCCCGCUACCAAGCCACCAUCGCCUCACCGCCAUAGUAUGUUUUCCCCUACGUCCGCGUCAGCUACCCCUCCGCGUGAAGGAAGGAAUGAAGGAAGGAAAAUUGACUACUCCGUCGCUGGGAGGAAAACUCGUGUCGCCUCGCCGCCGCGGCCUCGAGUUGCGCCCGCUCGCCCCGCCGCGCGUGCGCCACCGUUGUGGCUCGGCUCGCCGCCGCGUCCUGAGCUGCCGCUGCGCCUGCAUCCGCCGCGUUGUGGCUUGGAUGCACCCCGCCUCCACCGGUGCCUGACCGAGUCAUGCUCGGGGUCGCCCUCGUCGCCGGUUUGCCUCGCCUCGCCUCGAGUCGCCCCCACCGGCUGUCACCAGUCUCGGACUCAACCUCGUCUCGAUUGAUCUCGUCUGUGUCCAGAUGAAGUUCGGAGACUAAUUUUUAUUCUAUGCCGAAAUCAAGACGAAUCUCGCUACAUCGAGCUGACGUAUUGUGGGAUUUAUUCUGGUUGUCGUACGCUAGUCGCUGAAGGACUAGGGGUGAAAAGCAGUCAAAAUUACCGGAAGUUUGUAUAAGCAUUUGGAUGGCUGGGCAGCCACAUUAGUUGUUGCUAGACAAAAUGGAGUCAAUCAGAAGCAGUUUUUCCACCGGGAUUUCUUGGAGGAAAAGUUCCAUUCGUAGUACAAAUACUAGUACAAGCAUAUUGGAACACACGUCAGGGAGAAGAGGCUCGUUUACUGUGGAGCCAGCCAAGAAAUAAAAGAGGAUCACGUGGUGUUUGAAGCUACAACAGAUCAGUCAAAAGAUGGACGUACAACCAGCCUCGACCAGGAAAAGCUUGCCGAGCUCGCUUGCCUCUGUCGCCCCGUUCGUCGAGCUGUUCAGCCGCUGAUGCCUUACUCUGCCAUGCCUCCAUCGAGCCGCCGUCACCCUGACUCGCUCACCUCUGCUAUGAGGCGUACG
Molecule: long non-coding RNA, 1582 nt
Filed under: Hordeum vulgare
Lineage: Eukaryota; Viridiplantae; Streptophyta; Magnoliopsida; Poales; Poaceae
Description: long non-coding RNA (HVUL_LNC008896)
Source: RNAcentral